Oncorhynchus tshawytscha (Chinook salmon) is the source of this 484-nucleotide long non-coding RNA. NCBI's taxonomy places the organism in Eukaryota, Metazoa, Chordata, Actinopteri, Salmoniformes, Salmonidae. The record is from Ensembl.
GGUUAACACCAGUGGUAUAUCUGAGUGUUGAUUAAGAUGGCUUUAUAUAUAGUUAUAAAUCCGCGAAAGGCUUUGCUAUACUAUUUUACCAUAUAUACCACCAUCCAAAGUGGAGAGCUCCAUGAUUGAAGCUCUGUAGGUUACAGUGGAGUAGACCCUAGUGGGAGGGGGAAUAGGUUACAGUGGAGUAGACCCUAGUGGGAGGGGGAAUAGGUUAUAGUGGAGUAGACCCUAGUGGGAGGGGGAAUAGGUUAUAGUGGAGUAGACCCUAGUGGAAGGGGGAAUAGGUUACAGUGGAGUAGACCCUAGUGGGAGGGGGAAUAGGUUAUAGUGGAGUAGACCCUAGUGGGAGGGGGAAUAGGUUACAGUGGAGUAGACCCUAGUGGGAGGGGGAAUAGGUUAUAGUGGAGUAGACCCUAGUGGGAGGGGGAAUAGGUUAUAGUGGAGUAGACCCUAGUGGAAGGGGGAAUAGGUUACAGUGGAG